Molecule: ribosomal RNA, 381 nt
Filed under: Triticum aestivum (bread wheat)
Lineage: Eukaryota; Viridiplantae; Streptophyta; Magnoliopsida; Poales; Poaceae
Description: partial small subunit ribosomal RNA
Source: RNAcentral
AUGGCGUCCGCGCUCACCAACGUGAGCCUGUCUACCUUCGCGCCCACGGCCAGGGGCGACGUCCUCGCGAGGCCGCAGGUGGCCGCCGCCCGCGUCACCUUCCCGACGGCGCACCGCGGCAGCGGCGCCCUCUCCUGCAGGGCGGGCGGGCCGGCCACGCCGCCGGGCAUCUCCGACAAGAUGUCGGACAGCAUCAAGGAGGCCCAGGAGACGUGCUCGGAGGACGCCGCCAGCGGGGAGUGCGCGGCGGCGUGGGACGAGGUGGAGGAGCUCAGCGCCGCCGCCAGCCACGCCCGGGACAAGCUCAAGGACUCCGACCCGCUGGAGAACUACUGCAAGGAGAACCCCGAGACCGACGAGUGCCGCACCUACGACAGCUGA